RNAcentral lists this long non-coding RNA (1199 nucleotides) under Homo sapiens (human). RNAcentral's name for it is "HSALNT0255997". Lineage: Eukaryota; Metazoa; Chordata; Mammalia; Primates; Hominidae. The record is from RNAcentral.
CGGGCGGUGGCGGUGGCGGGAGCCGUUGGGCUGAGUCGGGAUCGGGGACGUCGCCCGAGAGCGGGGACGAGGAGGUGUCGGGCGCGGGUUCGAGCCCGGUGUCGGGCGGCGUGAACUUGUUCGCCAACGACGGCAGCUUCCUGGAGCUGUUCAAGCGGAAGAUGGAGGAGGAGCAGCGGCAGCGGCAGGAGGAGCCGCCCCCGGGUCCGCAGCGACCCGACCAGUCGGCCGCCGCCGCUGGCCCCGGGGAUCCGAAGAGGAAGGGCGGUCCGGGCUCCACACUUAGCUUCGUCGGCCGGCUGGCGGAGCUGGGCGCGGCGUCAGGACGGGCCACCAGGCCGGGCUAGGAAGGUGUAGUGGGCCUCAGCGCCGCCAAGGGCGGUCCCGGCUCCUGUAACCGUUGCAGUCUUCUGUCCCUUCACCCAGGUGGGCAAACGCAGAGGCGGGAACAAACUAGCCCUCAAGACGGGAAUAGUAGCCAAGAAGCAGAAGACGGAGGAUGAGGUGAGCCAGCUUGGUGCAGGGGGUCCACCCACAUUGCCUUUCCCUUCCAGCUUUUGCGCCCAGCCUUCUCCCUCCCUGUCUGGUAUCCAGGCCUUUUAUGAGUGUGCCUGGCAGGGUAGGAGGGCUGUCAAUGGGUCCCCAGAUAACUUGACUUUAUAAUCUUCAGCUCAAACCCAGAGUCUUCUGGGUGACACUGGGAAUGGGUCACCUGUCUCAGGGCAGUCCUGACCCUGGUUCCUGGCACCCCCGUCCUAACCCGUAUCCCCUUUCCACAGGUAUUAACAAGUAAAGGUGACGCGUGGGCCAAGUACAUGGCAGAAGUGAAAAAGUACAAAGCUCACCAGUGCGGUGACGAUGAUAAAACUCGGCCCCUGGUGAAAUGACGCCCCUCCCCCACCUGCCCAUGGCCUGGGACUCUCUGCGAUGUACAUAACUAUUUAAUGCAGCGGCAGCGGCGACAGCCUUCCCUGAGAGGACUUAAAAGCAGAAGGAAACCGAGAUGCUUCCCGCAGCCGUGGACGAUUCUCCAGGACUCUUUUUUUACCUUGAGCACUUGCCUCGUGAGACUUCAUAGAACAGUGGUUUACUGUCCCCCCCUUCUCACCUCCUCAUUCUCUCUGGCUCUUUCUGUCUUCCUCUUCUCACCCUCCUCCCUCCCCUUAGCCAUCACUUCUGGGAAGUAAAGAACUUGACUU